UAAUGUUAAGUAACUGAUGUAAUUAUUGGCAAACCACAACUUUUUUUUAUUAUUAUUUUAACCUGCUUUUUGUCAUUUUGUAAUUUCUGAUAUCUCAGUAAGCAUAUUAUAAACCUUUUUAAGAAGAUGAACACAUAAAUAUAUUAUAAAAAACAAAAAAAUCAAAUUCAUUAACAAAUUUUCCAUGUUUCGCACACAAAAUAUAAUAUAUUGAUAUCAAUAUUGACCUAACAUCAAUUGCAUUCAGAAAUCCAAGAAGGAAAUAAACUUACCAACAUCUUUGCACUUCCAAAAUCACAUACUUUUAGCUCUUGAGUUUGUGGAUUAACCUGCACUCAACAAUGUUGUUUACGUUUUAGUAUUUAAUACACCACCAACAAGGUUAAUUUAAAUGAGCGGCUUAAUAUCACUUGUUAGAUCUUACCAAUAAAUUUUGUGGCUUAAUAUCACGAUGGCACACACCGAU
This 466-nucleotide long non-coding RNA is filed under the name Helianthus annuus (common sunflower). Its description in RNAcentral is "sRNA HanXRQr2_Chr04g0183951". The record is from RNAcentral. Lineage: Eukaryota; Viridiplantae; Streptophyta; Magnoliopsida; Asterales; Asteraceae.